AGCGCAUACGGUGGAUGCUUGGCAGUCAGAGGCGAUGAAAGACGUGGUAGCCUGCGAAAAGCUUCGGGGAGUCGGCAAACAGACUUUGAUCCGGAGAUCUCUGAAUGGGGGAACCCACCUAGGAUAACCUAGGUAUCUUGUACUGAAUCCAUAGGUGCAAGAGGCGAACCAGGGGAACUGAAACAUCUAAGUACCCUGAGGAAAAGAAAUCAACCGAGAUUCCCUUAGUAGUGGCGAGCGAACGGGGAUUAGCCCUUAAGCUUCAUUGAUUUUAGCGGAACGCUCUGGAAAGUGCGGCCAUAGUGGGUGAUAGCCCCGUACGCGAAAGGAUCUUUGAAGUGAAAUCGAGUAGGACGGAGCACGAGAAACUUUGUCUGAACAUGGGGGGACCAUCCUCCAAGGCUAAAUACUACUGACUGACCGAUAGUGAACCAGUACCGUGAGGGAAAGGCGAAAAGAACCCCGGAGAGGGGAGUGAAAUAGAACCUGAAACCGUAUGCGUACAAGCAGUGGGAGCCUACUUGUUAGGUGACUGCGUACCUUUUGUAUAAUGGGUCAGCGACUUAUAUUCAGUGGCAAGCUUAACCGUAUAGGGUAGGCGUAGCGAAAGCGAGUCUUAAUAGGGCGUUUAGUCGCUGGGUAUAGACCCGAAACCGGGCGAUCUAUCCAUGAGCAGGUUGAAGGUUAGGUAACACUGACUGGAGGACCGAACCCACUCCCGUUGAAAAGGUAGGGGAUGACUUGUGGAUCGGAGUGAAAGGCUAAUCAAGCUCGGAGAUAGCUGGUUCUCCUCGAAAGCUAUUUAGGUAGCGCCUCAUGUAUCACUCUGGGGGGUAGAGCACUGUUUCGGCUAGGGGGUCAUCCCGACUUACCAAACCGAUGCAAACUCCGAAUACCCAGAAGUGCCGAGCAUGGGAGACACACGGCGGGUGCUAACGUCCGUCGUGAAAAGGGAAACAACCCAGACCGCCAGCUAAGGUCCCAAAGUUGUGGUUAAGUGGUAAACGAUGUGGGAAGGCUUAGACAGCUAGGAGGUUGGCUUAGAAGCAGCCAUCCUUUAAAGAAAGCGUAAUAGCUCACUAGUCGAGUCGGCCUGCGCGGAAGAUGUAACGGGGCUCAAACCACACACCGAAGCUGCGGGUGUCACGUAAGUGACGCGGUAGAGGAGCGUUCUGUAAGCCUGUGAAGGUGAGUUGAGAAGCUUGCUGGAGGUAUCAGAAGUGCGAAUGCUGACAUGAGUAACGACAAUGGGUGUGAAAAACACCCACGCCGAAAGACCAAGGGUUCCUGCGCAACGUUAAUCGACGCAGGGUUAGUCGGUUCCUAAGGCGAGGCUGAAAAGCGUAGUCGAUGGGAAACAGGUUAAUAUUCCUGUACUUCUGGUUACUGCGAUGGAGGGACGGAGAAGGCUAGGCCAGCUUGGCGUUGGUUGUCCAAGUUUAAGGUGGUAGGCUGAAAUCUUAGGUAAAUCCGGGGUUUCAAGGCCGAGAGCUGAUGACGAGUCGUCUUUUAGAUGACGAAGUGGUUGAUGCCAUGCUUCCAAGAAAAGCUUCUAAGCUUCAGGUAACCAGGAACCGUACCCCAAACCGACACAGGUGGUCGGGUAGAGAAUACCAAGGCGCUUGAGAGAACUCGGGUGAAGGAACUAGGCAAAAUGGCACCGUAACUUCGGGAGAAGGUGCGCCGGCUAGGGUGAAGGAUUUACUCCGUAAGCUCUGGCUGGUCGAAGAUACCAGGCCGCUGCGACUGUUUAUUAAAAACACAGCACUCUGCAAACACGAAAGUGGACGUAUAGGGUGUGACGCCUGCCCGGUGCCGGAAGGUUAAUUGAUGGGGUUAGCGCAAGCGAAGCUCUUGAUCGAAGCCCCGGUAAACGGCGGCCGUAACUAUAACGGUCCUAAGGUAGCGAAAUUCCUUGUCGGGUAAGUUCCGACCUGCACGAAUGGCGUAACGAUGGCGGCGCUGUCUCCACCCGAGACUCAGUGAAAUUGAAAUCGCUGUGAAGAUGCAGUGUAUCCGCGGCUAGACGGAAAGACCCCGUGAACCUUUACUGUAGCUUUGCACUGGACUUUGAGCCUGCUUGUGUAGGAUAGGUGGGAGGCUUUGAAGCGUGGACGCCAGUUCGCGUGGAGCCAUCCUUGAAAUACCACCCUGGCAUGCUUGAGGUUCUAACUCUGGUCCGUGAUCCGGAUCGAGGACAGUGUAUGGUGGGCAGUUUGACUGGGGCGGUCUCCUCCUAAAGAGUAACGGAGGAGUACGAAGGUGCGCUCAGACCGGUCGGAAAUCGGUCGCAGAGUAUAAAGGCAAAAGCGCGCUUGACUGCGAGACAGACACGUCGAGCAGGUACGAAAGUAGGUCUUAGUGAUCCGGUGGUUCUGUAUGGAAGGGCCAUCGCUCAACGGAUAAAAGGUACUCCGGGGAUAACAGGCUGAUACCGCCCAAGAGUUCAUAUCGACGGCGGUGUUUGGCACCUCGAUGUCGGCUCAUCACAUCCUGGGGCUGAAGCCGGUCCCAAGGGUAUGGCUGUUCGCCAUUUAAAGUGGUACGCGAGCUGGGUUUAGAACGUCGUGAGACAGUUCGGUCCCUAUCUGCCGUGGACGUUUGAGAUUUGAGAGGGGCUGCUCCUAGUACGAGAGGACCGGAGUGGACGAACCUCUGGUGUUCCGGUUGUCACGCCAGUGGCAUUGCCGGGUAGCUAUGUUCGGAAAAGAUAACCGCUGAAAGCAUCUAAGCGGGAAACUUGCCUCAAGAUGAGAUCUCACUGGGAACUUGAUUCCCCUGAAGGGCCGUCGAAGACUACGACGUUGAUAGGCUGGGUGUGUAAGCGUUGU
RNAcentral lists this ribosomal RNA (2831 nucleotides) under Pseudomonas aeruginosa JCM 5962. Its description in RNAcentral is "bacterial LSU rRNA". It matches the Rfam family "Bacterial large subunit ribosomal RNA". Lineage: Bacteria; Pseudomonadati; Pseudomonadota; Gammaproteobacteria; Pseudomonadales; Pseudomonadaceae. The record is from RNAcentral.